Molecule: ribosomal RNA, 253 nt
Filed under: uncultured bacterium
Lineage: Bacteria
Description: partial 16S ribosomal RNA
Rfam family: Bacterial small subunit ribosomal RNA
Source: RNAcentral
UACAGAGGGGGCGAGCGUUGUUCGGAAUUACUGGGCGUAAAGGGCGCGUAGGCGGCCUUCUAAGUCGAACGUGAAAUCCCCGGGCUCAACCCGGGAACUGCGUCCGAUACUGGGAGGCUUGAAUCCGGGAGAGGGAUGUGGAAUUCCAGGUGUAGCGGUGAAAUGCGUAGAUAUCUGGAGGAACACCGGUGGCGAAGGCGGCAUCCUGGACCGGUAUUGACACUGAGGCGCGAAAGCCAGGGGAGCAAACGGG